CCUACGGGUGGCUGCAGUGGGGAAUAUUGCACAAUGGGGGAAACCCUGAUGCAGCGACGCCGCGUGAGUGAAGAAGUAUUUCGGUAUGUAAAGCUCUAUCAGCAGGGAAGAAAAAAGACGGUACCUGACUAAGAAGCCCCGGCUAACUACGUGCCAGCAGCCGCGGUAAUACGUAGGGGGCAAGCGUUAGCCGGAUUUACUGGGUGUAAAGGGAGCGUAGACGGAGAAGCAAGUCUGAAGUGAAAGCCCGUGGCUUAACCACGGGACUGCUUUGGAAACUGUUUGACUGGAGUGCUGGAGAGGUAAGUGGAAUUCCUAGUGUAGCGGUGAAAUGCGUAGAUAUUAGGAGGAACACCAGUGGCGAAGGCGGCUUACUGGACAGUAACUGACGUUGAGGCUCGAAAGCGUGGGGAGCAAACAGGAUUAGAUACCCUUGUAGUC
This 441-nucleotide ribosomal RNA is filed under the name uncultured bacterium. RNAcentral describes it as "partial 16S ribosomal RNA". It matches the Rfam family "Bacterial small subunit ribosomal RNA", at positions 338 to 795 of the family's 1533-position model. The record is from RNAcentral.